AACGAACGCUGGCGGCAUGCCUAACACAUGCAAGUCGAACGAGACCUCCGGGCCUAGUGGCGCUCGGGUGCGUAACGCGUGGGAAGCUGCCCUUAGGUUCGGAAUAAUUCUCUGUAAGGGGUGCUAAUAUAGGAUAAUGUCUUCGGACAAAAGAUUUAUCGCGUUUGUAUGGGCACGCGUUGGUUUGGCUAGUUGGUAGGGUAAAAGCCUAUCAAGGCGUCGAUCCAUAGCUGGUCAGAGAGGAAGAUCAGCCACACUUGGGCUAAGACACGGCCCAGACUCCUACGGAAGGGAGGAGAGGAGAAUAUAGGAAGACGGACUAAGGCCUGAACCAGCAAUGCCGGGUAAGUGCUGAAGGCGUUAGAGUAGUAAAGCUCUUUUACCCGCGGUGAUAAUGACGGUACCGGGAGAAUAAGCACCGGCUAACUCCGUG
RNAcentral lists this ribosomal RNA (433 nucleotides) under uncultured bacterium. Its description in RNAcentral is "partial 16S ribosomal RNA". It matches the Rfam family "Bacterial small subunit ribosomal RNA", at positions 29 to 507 of the family's 1533-position model. The record is from RNAcentral.